ACACAGACACUUAACAACAGCCACAGUGCCUUUAGACACUCCAGAGAGCCACAAGUUCAAAGCCAGUACUGCAAGCCAAACACUCUAGGACUGUGGACCUCCUCCAGACACACACCCACCAGCACCACGCUGGACUUGAUGUCCUUAUCCUGCCUCUAUCUCCCAAAUGCUGGGAUUACUGCGAUGCCCCCCCCCAAUGGGCUUCUACAAGCUAUUCUCUGCCCUUACCCAAAGGUCCUUUUAUCUCUAACCCAUCUCUGCCUACCUCUUGUUGGAAAGAUCGGUGGUAACCAGGUCCUUGUCAGUAGCAAGGAGACACACCACCAUUGUCAGCAGCCCAAGGAGUUCCCCUAGACUUUUAGGGCUCUUGAUGUAGGUCAAAAUGGGGACUUGGCUUGGGGUCUAAGGAAUUCCACAGCUAUAGCCAGUUUAUGAAGCAGAUAUGGUAAGUUUAUUGAAAGAUAUUUUACUAUAGAUUUAAGCACAAGGUUUAUAAAAGGAUCUCAGAAGAAAGACACAUCCAAGUAUAGAUAUGAGCUUCUCAACAGGAGAGUGGGUGGAAAAUAAGAUGGCACCGUAGCGUAGGUACAGGCUCCUAGGGGAGAGUAACCAAUUAGUUGUCUUAG
This 626-nucleotide long non-coding RNA is filed under the name Rattus norvegicus (Norway rat). RNAcentral's name for it is "long non-coding RNA NONRATT002313". The record is from RNAcentral. Lineage: Eukaryota; Metazoa; Chordata; Mammalia; Rodentia; Muridae.